GUGAAUCAUCAAAUUUUUGAACGCAAAUUGCACUCUCUUCGGAGAGUAUGCCUGUUUGAGGGUCAGCCUAAAAAAAAAUCGACAUAGUCGCUGUUUCGCGGUGACAUUCGUCGGAAAUUGGGUCAUCUUAAACCUUUGGGUUUUAACGGCGUAAAAAUUUUUUUUAGAAUUCAACAAAGGGUCUU
This 185-nucleotide unclassified non-coding RNA is filed under the name Glomus sp. Its description in RNAcentral is "partial contains 5.8S ribosomal RNA and internal transcribed spacer 2". The stretch from base 1 to 65 matches the Rfam family "5.8S ribosomal RNA", at positions 84 to 154 of the family's 154-position model. The record is from RNAcentral. Lineage: Eukaryota; Fungi; Glomeromycota; Glomeromycetes; Glomerales; Glomeraceae.